This 985-nucleotide ribosomal RNA is filed under the name uncultured bacterium. Its description in RNAcentral is "bacterial SSU rRNA". It matches the Rfam family "Bacterial small subunit ribosomal RNA", at positions 32 to 1009 of the family's 1533-position model. The record is from RNAcentral.
AACGCUGGCGGCGUGCCUUACACAUGCAAGUCGGAGGUGUCGCAAGACACAUGGCAGACGGGUGAGUAACACGUGGGAAACUUACCUCCUAGUGGGGAAUAACGCUCCGAAAGGAGCGGUAAUACCGCAUAAGACCUAUCGCUGGGAUGCGAUAGAUGAAAGCUGGGGAUCGUAAGACCUAGCGCUGAGAGAGAGUCCUGCGUCUGAUUAGUUAGUUGGUGAGGUAACGGCUCACCAAGACUUCGAUCAGUAGCCGGCCUGAGAGGGCGAUCGGCCACACUGGAACUGAGACACGGUCCAGACUCCUACGGGAGGCAGCAGUGGGGAAUCUUGCGCAAUGGGCGAAAGCCUGACGCAGCAACGCCGCGUGGGUGAUGAAGGUCUUCGGAUUGUAAAACCCUGUCGUUAGGGACGAAGACAUAAAUCCUAAUACGAUUUAUGUUUGACGGUACCUAGAAAGGAAGCCCCGGCUAACUCUGUGCCAGCAGCCGCGGUAAUACAGAGGGGGCAAGCGUUAUUCGGAAUUAUUGGGCGUAAAGGGUGCGUAGGCGGUUUUUUAAGUCAGAUGUGUAAUCCCCGAGCUCAACUUGGGAACUGCAUCUGAAACUGGAAAACUAGAGUGCUGGAGAGGAUGGUGGAAUUCCACGUGUAGCGGUGAAAUGCGUAGAGAUGUGGAGGAACACCAGUGGCGAAGGCGGCCAUCUGGACAGUAACUGACGCUGAAGCACGAAAGUGUGGGUAGCAAACAGGAUUAGAUACCCUGGUAGUCCACACCGUAAACGAUGAACACUUGGUGUAGUGGGCGUUGACCCCCACUGUGCCGUAGCUAACGCGAUAAGUGUUCCGCCUGGGGAGUACGGUCGCAAGGCUGAAACUCAAAGGAAUUGACGGGGGCCCGCACAAGCGGUGGAGCAUGUGGUUCAAUUCGACGCAACGCGAAGAACCUUACCUGGGCUUGAACUGUAAUGGACCGUGGCAGAGAUGU